GGGUUUUGAUCUCCUUGGUCUGCGGUCAGAUUCCAUUUCCUUGUUUUGUUUCCCAGAUUUGGUCCGACACACCCACAGUUCGGCCCAACCCAAACUAACAAGGUAUGUGAAAUUAAUUUCUUUUUGGAUCAGACUAGACGGGCCCGAUCCGCAGGCCCUGCGCUUACUAAUUUGCGGGAAGGCGAAAACAGUAAACACACUUAUUUCGAAAAAGUUCAAAAAAAAAAAACACAGCGAUUUUCAUUUUCUACUUCUCUGCAUCUUGUUCUUGCUUCCCGUAUCUAGGGUUUCAAGAAAUUUUUUUGGUCAUCCAAUCGGCUAGAUACUCAGCCAUGGCCGAAGUCAUUAACAUGCCGGUCGAUUCCGUCGAUGGCAACGGUGAUCGUGACCCCAACGAGAAGCCCUCCGCUGUUGACGACGACCCCCAAUCUUCCCCUCCGCCCCCACCAC
This 450-nucleotide long non-coding RNA is filed under the name Linum usitatissimum (flax). RNAcentral describes it as "long non-coding RNA (LUSI_LNC002021)". The record is from RNAcentral. Lineage: Eukaryota; Viridiplantae; Streptophyta; Magnoliopsida; Malpighiales; Linaceae.